RNAcentral lists this ribosomal RNA (428 nucleotides) under uncultured bacterium. Its description in RNAcentral is "bacterial SSU rRNA". It matches the Rfam family "Bacterial small subunit ribosomal RNA", at positions 355 to 775 of the family's 1533-position model. The record is from RNAcentral.
UGGGGAAUUUUGGACAAUGGGGGCAACCCUGAUCCAGCCAUGCCGCGUGCGGGAAGAAGGCCUUCGGGUUGUAAACCGCUUUUAGCCGGGAAGAAAAGGCAGGGGCUAAUAGCCUCUGUUGUUGACGGUACCGGCGGAAUAAGCACCGGCUAACUACGUGCCAGCAGCCGCGGUAAUACGUAGGGUGCGAGCGUUAAUCGGAAUUACUGGGCGUAAAGCGUGCGCAGGCGGUUCGUCGUGUCUGGUGUGAAAGCCCCGGGCUCAACCUGGGAAUGGCAUUGGAAACUGGCGAACUGGAGUGUGGCAGAGGGGGGUGGAAUUCCGCGUGUAGCAGUGAAAUGCGUAGAGAUGCGGAGGAACACCGAUGGCGAAGGCAGCCCCCUGGGCUGACACUGACGCUCAGGCACGAAAGCGUGGGGAGCAAACAG